RNAcentral lists this ribosomal RNA (187 nucleotides) under Listeria monocytogenes. RNAcentral's name for it is "partial 23S ribosomal RNA". It matches the Rfam family "Bacterial large subunit ribosomal RNA", at positions 1 to 179 of the family's 2925-position model. RNAcentral also lists the same sequence under 1 other name. The record is from RNAcentral. Lineage: Bacteria; Bacillati; Bacillota; Bacilli; Caryophanales; Listeriaceae.
AGUAAAUUGGUUAAGUUAGAAAGGGCGCACGGUGGAUGCCUUGGCACUAGGAGCCGAAGAAGGACGGGACUAACACCGAUAUGCUUUGGGGAGCUGUACGUAAGCGUUGAUCCAGAGAUUUCCGAAUGGGGGAACCCACUAUCUUUAGUCGGAUAGUAUCCUUACGUGAAUACAUAGCGUGAGGAAG